CUUUACCUGGGAUCCACCUGCGGGAGCGGCUCUAUUGGAGUUGUGGAGACCUGAGGCUGCAGCACAGGCUGCUCUGUCUCCUUCACUGGAACAGGAGAGUGUUUUUCUACAUUCAGGACAAAGUUGGUGCUGGAUGAAACCUGGGACAAGGUUAGCCGGGACAAUCUGGAAGAGACUGAGGUGAAAGAGUCGCUAUCUCUUAUUUCCGGAAAAAAGACAAAGUUAGCCUCAUAUCCUCUCUCUUGUCAGUGGACACAGAAAGAUGACUUGUGAGACACGAAAAGGAAGCAGAGUUGACAACAGGACUCACAGGUCACCACCUGAAAAGCUGCAGAGGCUGAUGUGUGUGUGUCUGUGUGCAAAAGACAAAGGAAAGGACCAUAAAGUUCAACUAUCAAGUAUGAAGAAAAUAGAGGGAUUUAAAAGCACGGGAGAAUGCUUGUACAGGGAGACUCCCACUAGGCCGAAAGGAGCGACACAAAGAGACGUGAAAAGAGCAGAGCACAGCCAGGACGCUUCAGCAGGUCUGAGGCCCAGAGGAGGAGAGAGGACUAGGAGAAGGGCCGUGGUCUAGAGACAGAGGUCCAUCCAUCACACAUGUCCUGACCUCUGCUUGACCCCAGCAUGGCAGCCAAUGAGGCGCCCUCACCCCCUAAAGAAAGGAGCCCCCCACCACACACACAUAGACACCCACACACACUUAUCUACCCACACAAACACACAGACACACACACACACACACAGAAGAGAUCGGGUGACACUGAGUGGAGUCUGGAUGCUCUUUGUGUUGGCCAUUGUCGCUUCCCAGAAUCCUUUGUUUUUUACGUGACUAAUCAGGUGUCUGGAGGGUGGAGCCUUAUCCAGAUCACCUAGUUGGAAGCACCUGGGUCCAGUGUUUCUGUUUCUAACCCUCUCCCUUUGUGCUGUCCAAUUUGCUCCUGUGACGCUGAAAAUUUCCAGAGAAUGGGACUAAUAAAGGAAGAUCUUAUCCCAUUUAUUAUUCUUUUCUGUUAGUUAUAUCAUUUUGUUGUUAAUAAAUCUAUUAUUGCUU
Molecule: long non-coding RNA, 1051 nt
Organism: Seriola aureovittata
Lineage: Eukaryota; Metazoa; Chordata; Actinopteri; Carangiformes; Carangidae
Exons: 7
Source: RefSeq, a predicted model, not a curated record